This 758-nucleotide ribosomal RNA is filed under the name uncultured delta proteobacterium. RNAcentral's name for it is "bacterial SSU rRNA". It matches the Rfam family "Bacterial small subunit ribosomal RNA", at positions 57 to 792 of the family's 1533-position model. The record is from RNAcentral. Lineage: Bacteria; Deltaproteobacteria.
GCAGUCGAACGAGAAAGCUUCCUUCGGGAAGUAAGUAGAGUGGCGCACGGGUGAGUAACGCGUAGGUAAUCUACCCUUAUAACUGGGAUAACAUUGGGAAACUGGUGCUAAUACCGGAUACACUUCUUUACUGCGGGGUAAAGGAGGAAAGGUGGCCUCUUCAUGAAAGCUACCGUAUAGGGAUGAGCCUGCGUACCAUUAGCUAGUAGGCGGGGUAACGGCCCACCUAGGCAACGAUGGUUAGCGGGUCUGAGAGGAUGAUCCGCCACACUGGAACUGGAACACGGACCAGACUCCUACGGGAGGCAGCAGUGAGGAAUAUUGCGCAAUGGGGGAAACCCUGACGCAGCGACGCCGCGUGAGUGAGGAAGGUUUUCGGAUCGUAAAGCUCUGUCAGAAGGGAAGAAGUGUUAUAUGUUUAAUACGCAUAUAAUUUGACGGUACCUUCAGAGGAAGCACCGGCUAACUCCGUGCCAGCAGCCGCGGUAAUACGGAGGGUGCAAGCGUUGUUCGGAAUUACUGGGCGUAAAGGGCGCGUAGGCGGCUGGAUAAGUCAGAUGUGAAAGUCCAUGGCUCAACUGUGGAAGUGCAUUUGAAACUGUCCGGCUUGAGUAUCGGAGGGGAGUGUGGAAUUCCCGGUGUAGAGGUGAAAUUCGUAGAGAUCGGGAGGAACACCGGUGGCGAAGGCGACACUCUGGACGAAUACUGACGCUGAGGCGCGAAAGCGUGGGGAGCAAACAGGAUUAGAUACCCUGGUA